This 516-nucleotide long non-coding RNA is filed under the name Macaca mulatta (Rhesus monkey). RNAcentral describes it as "lncRNA (ENSMMUG00000052647.1)". Lineage: Eukaryota; Metazoa; Chordata; Mammalia; Primates; Cercopithecidae. The record is from RNAcentral.
CAUAAGGGGGCUGCCCUCUGAGUGGGCAUAAAUGCUGACGACCACAGGAGUUAGUUACUGUGUGCCUGCCUGAAUUGCAUUAGCUGCUAAUUACUCUGAGGUCUCCCUAAUGUCUCUGGUCUUCUCCACCAAAGCACACUGUGAAGAAGGGUUGCUGUAGGUGUGGCCAGAUCCCCUAGGCAAGAAGUGUGGAUACAGGUCCUACCAGUCUUACUCCUGAUGAAGUUGGGCAAAUCAGUUGGCUCCGGAGUAAUUAGUAGCCCCUUCCUCAUUGACCACUGCAAGUUCCUUGAGCUCAAACACACCUACCUCUUAAAUGAACUGUCUUUGUGAUCUUGGCCAAGUUACUCAACAUCUUUGGUCCUCAUUUUUCUCUUUGGAAAGUUCAAACAUCUAAAAAUACAACUAAAGUUUCUUCUACCUCAAAUAAGGCUAUAAGUGAGUAAGUCCAGGAAUCAGUAUAAUUUUAUGUCUAUGACUGAAUUAUAAUAGCAAUAAUUAAAAUUCAUUUAAAAG